GACGAACGCUGGCGGCGUGCCUAAUACAUGCAAGUUGAGCGCUGAAGGUUGGUACUUGUCCCAACUUGAUGAGCAGCGAACGGGUGAGUAACGCGUGGGGAAUCUGCCUUUGAUCGGGGUACAACAUGUGGAAACGAAUGCUAAUACCACAUAAAAACUUUAAACACAAGUUUUAAGUUUGAAAUAUGCAAUUUCAUCACUCAAAGAUGAUCCAGCGUUGUAUUAGCUAGUUGGUGAGGUAAAGGCUCACCAAGGCGAUGAUAGAUAGCCGAACUGAGAGGGUGAUCGGCCACAUUGAGACUGAGACACGGCCCAAACUCAUACGGGAGGCAGCAGUAGGGAAACUUCGGCCAUGGACGAAAGUCUGACCGAGAAACGCCGCGUGAGUGAAGAAGGUUUUCGGAUCGUAAAACUCUGUUGGUAGAGAAGAACGUUGGUGAGAGUGGAAAGAUCAUCAAGUGACGGUAACUACCCAGAAAGGGACGGCUAACUACGUG
RNAcentral lists this ribosomal RNA (497 nucleotides) under uncultured bacterium. Its description in RNAcentral is "partial 16S ribosomal RNA". It matches the Rfam family "Bacterial small subunit ribosomal RNA", at positions 28 to 507 of the family's 1533-position model. The record is from RNAcentral.